RNAcentral lists this ribosomal RNA (499 nucleotides) under Pristimantis miktos. RNAcentral describes it as "partial 16S ribosomal RNA". It matches the Rfam family "Bacterial large subunit ribosomal RNA", at positions 1848 to 2607 of the family's 2925-position model. The record is from RNAcentral. Lineage: Eukaryota; Metazoa; Chordata; Amphibia; Anura; Strabomantidae.
AGAGGUCAAGCCUGCCCAGUGGUUCAACGGCCGCGGUAUCCUAACCGUGCGAAGGUAGCGUAAUCACUUGUCUUCUAAAUAAAGACCAGUAUGAAAGGCAUCACGAGGACAAGACUGUCUCCUUUUUUCAAUCAGUGAACCUAAUCUCCCCGUGAAGAAGCGGGAAUUAACAUAUAAGACGAGAAGACCCUAUGGAGCUUCAAACAUUAUGACAUCUGGCACUUUGAUCAUAUGUUUUCGGUUGGGGUGACCGCGGAGAAAAACUCACCCUCCGCAAUGAAUAAACAACAAACUACACCUUUAUGUAUCAACAAACUGACAGCUAUUGACCCAAUAAUUGAUCAACGAACCAAGUUACCCUAGGGAUAACAGCGCAAUCCACUUUGAGAGCCCCUAUCGACAAGUGGGCUUACGACCUCGAUGUUGGAUCGGGGUAUCCCAGUGGUGCAGCCGCUACUAAAGGUUCGUUUGUUCAACGAUUUAAACCCCACGUGAUCUG